Long non-coding RNA from Gallus gallus (chicken), 2016 nucleotides. The record is from Ensembl. Lineage: Eukaryota; Metazoa; Chordata; Aves; Galliformes; Phasianidae.
AUUCUGGGUUUCACGCUGCUCUUCCAGUUUGGUUUGGAGGCUCUUCUUAGGGCAGAGUGGUUGGGCGUGUUCUUUUUGCGAUGGGUGCUGCCCACGUUGACUCUCUGUUGUGCUCAGCAUCGUCUCCUCUGUGUCUGGGGCUGCUGGCACGUUGUCUCUUGGUGGUGCAACCCAAGCUGUGCUUUCAGGGUGCAGUGUCACCACUUCACCUGUGGGCAGGGGAUCCUCUGGCUGAACGUCGCUGGUGCUGCUGUUCCCCAGCAGCUUGGGCACUGGCACAAAAAUGGGCUAAAAAUCCAUACGGAGAGCUACGGAGAUGCUGAGAGCCGCUGUGCUCCCUUCCUGGGUCCAGCAGAGGUAUUCUGGAAGAAGCAUGCUCUUGACUGACAAAGCACAGGGACAAAGCAGCUGCUGAGGAUACCAAGCACAGGUUGGUGGUUGGAUGCAGUUACAGGAGAAGAUGGAUGGUUACGGGUUUAAGCACAGCCUCUUGUACAGUGUCAUGGCCAUCUUUCUGGGCUUUUUUGUCUUCUUCAAUCUGUUCGUACUGAGUUGCAGCGAGGUCAGAGAAGCACAUGGGGAUGGGGGUGGGAGAAGAUCACCCACCCCCAUGGUUUGCAUUGGCAGGGCUUCACUCAGGAGGACGAAAGCUGCUGCAGAGCAGUGCGGGCGGCUGCAGUGUGGGCCAGAAAGCAAAAUAUCCAGAGAGAGCAGAGGAAGGAUGGGAGCAAAGACACAGACCAGCAGCCAAGAGCCCUUUCCAGGAGUGGCUUGGAUUCACUUUCUGCUCGAGGGAGGUCGCACAGCACAGCAUCCAAGACGUUACCACGGGCUCAAAAUCCAUGCUGCAGAGCCUACAGGAGAGCUUUGCACCACUUGAUAAAGGGCUUCUGCAAAGCCAGCUUGAAAAAAUCCCUCAGUCUGAAGAGUUCUAUGAGCUGGUGGAAGACGUCAAAAAGAAGACGUGCCUCUCUGAUAUCAUCACUUACAGAGGAAUUUUGUUUCAGCUUCCACUUUGCUCACCUGUAGAUGACAGCCCUGAGCACACAGGAUCGCGAAAUGAAGAGGUUGCAGCUCCUCUAUCAUGAACUUACUGAUGUAGUGAGAAAGAAGAGAAGAACAUUUGCUGGAUGAGUUGGAGGAGGAAAGUGAAGAUCUCUGCUAGGGGGACAUGAAGCUCAUUGUGUCUCCACCCAGAGCCUUCCCUUCAAGCGUUCCUUUAAAUUACAUCUACAGUUCAAAUAGUUCAGAGGAGAUCCUCUUUCCCUGGGCUGCUCUGAGUCAGGGGUUGCUGAGCUGUGCUACGGCUGCAGAUCGUAAUGGCUCUGAGCAAAGCAGCUCCUUUUGUGCCGGAUGGCAGCCGGUGUCCUCGAGGAACCCACACAGCUGUUUCAAUGCACACCCACCCACUCGGUAAUCAGAGAGGGAAGAGGGAGACCUCCGCACAGCACGGAGUGUACAGGUCAUGGUACAGCUCCUCAUCGUGUGCCUGGGCAUGAUGACUGUGAUGGUGGGACUCGACUCCGAGGGUGGCAGAGAGGGAGGCACCGUGCCCUGCAACCGGAAUCAGCAGUGAGGUUGGGUUUGCACGGCUCUGCUUGGCCAAGGCUCUGCCUGCUGGUAGCACAGCACUGGGAGCUUGGAGCUGCAAUGGGAGCUCCUCGUAAAAGGGCUGGAGAGAAACCCCCGACACCAGAUCCUCCUCAAUUUGUUUUUCAUGUUCUCGUUUGUAAUAAUCUUGAGUUUUAUGAGGGAUACUUCCUAAAACUUCCCCAACAUGAUGGAAACACAUGUGGUGCCGUAAUACACGAUGUGGCCAUUUUGGGGGAGAGACUAGAUCAAAACCUGCUUCCUUCUGACAGUUAUAUGGGAUUUGUUCCAGGGGACCGGACAAGUGGAGGAGUGCAGGUACAGAUUUCCCCCCUAAAGCACUGCAUGUGCAUCUCUGCAUCGACGUGGAUUCUUUUGCUCAUAUAUUAUUAAACAUGGCUCUCCCCUCUUUCUCUAGGGUUAACC